UCCAAGUCUCCAACUUGGAUGAUCUGAAAGAGAAAGAAAAAUUAAGGCUGAAGAGAUUGAGACUUUAGAGGGCUCAAAAGCUAAACAAAAGAUGAACUUACUAGAAAAAAGAUUACAAGCAGUAGAGGAGAUGGAUUUUUAUGGCUCAAUAAAUGCAGUCGACUUUUACUUAGUUCCAAAUGUAGUAAUCCCACCAAAAUUCUAGGUCUCAAAGUUUGAGAAGUAUGAUGAAACAAAGUAUUUGAUAACUCAUGUUAUCAUGUACUAUCGAAAAAUGAUUACUUACACAAGCAAUGAAAAACUAUUAAUACAUGUGUUCUAAUACAGUCUUACUAGUUUUACAGCUAGAUGGUACAUCUAAUUAGAUAAAACUCACAUUACUUUAUGGAAAGAAUUGAUAAAAGCAUUUAUCAUCCAGUACCAACACAUCAUAGAGUUAGCUUCAGACCAUCUUUUUUACAUAACAUAGAGAAAAAGGCUAUAAAAGCUUUUAAAUAAUAUACGUAGAGGUAGAGAGAUAUGACUGUUCAGGUUUAAUCACUUCUUAUUGAGAAAGAAACUACUAUCCUAUUUGUCAGUAUCUUAAAGGCUCCAUAUUACAAAAAAAUAAUAGAAAAUGCCAGCAAGAACUUUGUUGACAUAGUAAUCUUGGCUAAGAUUAUUGAAAAUACCAUAAAGAAUGGAAAGCUAGAAAGAGGAGAGUCAGUCAACAUAAAAAAAAAUGAAAUACCGAGAAAAAAAAAAAUGAAGCGCAAGCUGUGAGCUAUGACAAUCAACACCUUAGAGGUUUUCUUCCAAUACCUACCAUCAAUGUAUCCAAUCCAUUAUCCAUCUGUAAAAAAUGUAGCGUCUUACCUCUAUCAACCAGUUAUGCUAUCUGUUUAUCCAUAUACUUUCCCGUCAACUCAUAACUACAACCCCAUCAUUACACCUGUUAUAAAGUCUAUCCUAAAACCUCAUAAUCAGAACACCAAUUUGAGAGGAUCACAAAAAAAUAAAAAAAGGCUUUUUUUAAUCCCAUUUCUAUGAUAUACAUAGACUUGCUACCAUAGUUAGUGAAAAAUCAUUUGUUGGUCCAUGUUUGUGUUGAAUAAAAAAAACCUCUCUACCCAAAAUGGUAUGAUGCUAAUGCUCAAUGUAACUACGAUUAUGAGAUCACAAGUCACUUAACAAAAAAUUAUGUUGCUUUGAAGCAUAAAGAACAAUGUCUCAUCAAUGAGGGGUUGAUCAAGUUUAGCGAUAAAGAAAGGUCUAGCAAUUCUGAAAUCUGUUUACCCAAUGAUAUAGAGGCAUGAUUUUGAGGAUAUAUUUUAAAACUAUUUGAGGUAAUGAUUUAUGGGGCAGUCUUUUAUGUCUUUAUCGUGUAUUUACCUUGCAUUUCAAUAAAAUGAUAAGUGCAUUUCAUUACAUAUUCUUCUUUUUUUUUUUUAUCCAUACUGUUAUGCAUAUCUCUUUAUAUGUCACUCAUUCUUAAAUUUUAGAUAAUGAAUGUUCAGACAAUUAUGACAAUAAUUUGGGGUUCAAUCUUGAAAAUUUCAUUCAUACUGAUAAGAUUGAUGAUUUAGAUUCAUAUUAUGUUGGGGUGAAUUAAAGUUGACAUGCUAUAAACAGGAGUAAAGUCAUUUUAAAAGAAUAUGGUCCCUUAUAUCCAAAAGUUUGCUUUCAUUUAGUAUAAGUUCUUCAAAGAAAGUAUUCAAGUUUAAGAUGAGAAAUGGUCGUCUUUUUUUUACCUUUUUAAAAAAAAUAAAAAAUAAUAAAACUAUCCAUUUGCUAUCCCUUUUAAGCUUAUUAUAAUUUCUUUGAAAGAAACUCACCAAAAAUCACAUUCCACAUCAGGAGGCAAAGUUUAAAAAAAGAUCUAUUCAUAAGAAAAAAAAUAAGUUAAAAAUCAUUACUGAAGCAUAAAAAAUAAAAAAAAAAAUCUCUUGUGCGGGAAUCCUUAUUAAAAAGAAAAAUUGAAAAGAAAAAAUGAGAUGAAAAAGAGAGAAAAUAUAAAGGCACUUGGUAAAGAAUGGGGUAAAAUGCCAAUGUGCUUUAAGUAAUGAGAGAUGAUCAUUUGGUUUAUACCCUUUCACACAUGUUUUUAAGCCUGUGUUAUCAUUUUUUAUAGCCCUUCACCAUAGCCUCAGUUACAUGCUUUAAAUGUGCAUUUCGAUCAAAUAUGAAUGCUGAAAUUGAAUAAUUAUAUAUUGAACUAGAGCAUGCUUAUGGAUAAUGAGAUUUUAUAUUUUAAAGAUUCAUAUGGAAUUCGAUAGAAUGCUAAUGGAGAAUAAAGCAAAGAAAAAAGUAAAAAAUAAAAAGAAUGAAAAAAUAAAAAAUAAAAAGUGAAAAAGAGAGAAAUGAAAAUGUGGAAAGAGGAAGACUGAAAUUAAAAACCUAAAAGGGUAAUUUAACUAAACAAAAAUAUAUUGGCUAAAAGCAAGCAUUAGACAGCCUAAGAGUAUUCAAGAGUCCAAUAAGCUAGGGGGCAAGAUUUGGAUUUUAAGCCCAAUGAGAUCAAAUGCGUCAAUAAAAUGAGUUUCUAAGAAAGAACUUUGGAUUGGUGUCAAAAAUUGUCUGAAUAUUCAUUAUUUUAAAGGUUCAAAUCCUAUCCAAACACUUAUCCUAGCAAUAUGUUUUGACAUUAUUAACUUGUUUGUGACCCUUUAUUGAAUAUCCUUUUUUUUAAACCACUUUGUUUCUCAUCAUUAUUGCUUUCUCAUAAUAAGAAAAUAUGUGAUGAAUUGCAUUGUUCAUGAAAUUGAAAUUAUGAAAAAUAAACAAGAAAAUACAUAAAAAGAUCUUUACAUUACUUUGAAAAGAAAAUCGAUAGUGACAGGGGCAAAAUGAAGAUAUCAUGAUGAAACAAAUUUGUGAAAAUGUUGAUUCAUCGAACUUUCAAAAGAAAAAAGAGGCAUUUUAAGAAAAGUUCAAGAUAUUUUGAUUAAUAGAAUGGUUGAUAGAAAUUGUGAAGGUAACCAGUCUAGAAGAUUUCUAAGAAUAUUUUUACACAAUUAUGGGUGCAUUUAGUACAUCUCAUGUAUUGCAUUCAUGACAUCUCAUACAUUGCAUUUAUAACAUUCAUUGUAAACAAAAAGCUUGAAUUAGUGAAAGGAUAAGAAUUUUUUAAAGGAUUUAGAACCAACAUGCCUUCGAUUGAGGAAAAUUUUUAAAAGAUAAUCUUUGAUUAAGAAAAAAUAAAACCUUAACUCUUGAUUGAAAAGUUUCAAGAAACAUUCCUCUAUCUCAAAAAAUAAGUAAAAUUUGUCAAUCUUCAAGAUAUAAUCUCAAAGCCUUUCGAAUAUGAUUUAUAAGACCUUCAAGCAUGAUCAUUAAACCUAUGGUUGUUAAUUUCAAAUUCAUUUGAUCUCAUAUUUUGACUUUGGCUUAGUCCAAUCAUUUUUAUUUUGACCUUGGUUUAGUCUAGUCAUUUCCAUCUUCAACCUUGGUUUACUCCGAUCAUUUUCAUCUUCGACUUUGACUCAAUCCAAUCAUUUUUAUCUUUGACAUUGGUUCAACUCAAUCUUUUUCAUUUUUAACCUUAGCUCAAUUUAGUCAUUUUUCAUUUUCGACUUUGGCUUAGAAUGAUCAUUUUUAUUUUCGACCUUAGCUCAAUCCCAUCAUGUUUAUCUUCGACCUUGGUUUAGUCUAAUCAUUUUUAUUUGGAACCUUGGUUCAAUCCAAUCAUUUUCAUUUUCAACUUUGGUUCAGUUCAAUCAUUUUCAUUUUUGACAUUGGCUCAGUUCAUCAUUUUCAUCUUCAACCAUGGUUUAGUCUGAUUAUUUCAUUUUUUACUUUAGUUCAGUUUAGUCAUUUUCAUUUUCAACCUUAGUUCAAUUUGAUAAUUUUUAUCCUUGGUUUAGCCCGGUCACUUUUAUCUUCAACCUUAGCUCAGUCUAAUUAUCUUAAUCAUUCAACCUUUGGCUUAAUCCAAAUUAUAUCAUUUUUUUUCGACUUCGGGUAAGACCAAGUCAUUUUAUUUUUCAACUUUGGCUAAGAUCAAGUCAUUCUAUUUCUGACUUUGGCUAAGAACAAGUUAUCUCAUUUUCUGACUACUGCUAAAUCCAAGUCAUAUUUCUAAUUACGACUUUGCCUGAAUCAUCAGUUCGACUUUUGACUUGAUCUAAGUCAUUUCAUUUUGACCUUUAGCUAGGUCUAAAUAAUUUUAUUUUUGAACCUAAACAUAAUGGAUGUAUAUAUCUUUGCAUAACUUUUGUUAUGUAAAAUAUGUGUAAAAAUGGGCAACUGUAAACACCCCAUUUAGUCUAGGGUUUAAACUAAUUAGGUUCAAUUUAAUAUCAAACACAAAGGCCUAAAAUCAAUUGGGCUCGGGUUUAUCCAAAGUGUAAUACUUCUUUUUUAUGAUUAUUUUUAUUUUUAUUUUAUUUGUCUAUAUAUAUAUUUAUCUGAUUUAUUCUAUCAUUUCUCUUUUAUUAUCUUUUCUUUAUCUAUUAAUUAUCUUUAAUUUAUCUGAUUAUUUCAAAACAAAAAUAAUAAAUAUCAAAAGGAAAAAUCAAAAUAUUGGCUUUGUUUAAUUGAUAAUCCUCAAUUUCAUAUUGCUAAGUUUGAUUUAAUCUGAAAAUUCCCCUAACUUGCGCUAUAAUUACACAAAAUCAAGGAGAGAAGACACGAAUCAAAAAACAAAAUUACUGAGAAAGCAACAGAGAAACACACAACAAUCACUAUAAAACAAGAGGAGAACAAGUAGUCGGUUUAGACACCACCCUCACCUUUCACUACCAUCCCACUACCAUCUCUAGUCAGGGAAACUAAAGGCCAAACACUACCAUUCUUUUUUCCAUUUUAGUUUUUUUCAUGAUAGAAAGUGUAGAAGAAACCACAUACAAUCGACCUACAUAGAAUUCCUUAAAUACAACAAGUUCCAAUCUUUCAACUAACGAGAUUCAGUCAUAAUAUGCAUAUACAAUAGAAAAAGGCAAAUGAAAAUUUCCUAUUUCAAUAGACUUGAAACAUUUUGAAUCAAACCUUCUUGCCAUACUGCUCUUCAAGCUAUUCAUCAUGCAUCAUCACUAACAACACGCAAAAUAGCCCCUAAUAAGCACACAAAGGUGAAGUCAGUACAAGCCAAAAAACCCAAGACCAAAAACUAUUAAAGAGACAGUCGAGCUUAACUCUUUGCAAAAGCCAAAAAACACCAUAAAUUACACAGAAAGCAAACAUAAAGCAUCAAUAAAUCAAUAGCUUUCAAAACAUAAAAGCAUCAAGAAACCAAAUAUACGAUCAGAUCAGGGGUCUUGAGUUUAGGAUUUUUUAGAAACUUCUAAUAGUUCAUGGAGAUGGGAAAAACAACAAGGAAGAAAACAGAAUGCCAAUGACAGAAGUGACAGCAACAAUGAUGGUAUUUGGGUGGUCGAUGACAGCCGUUGGGAUUUUUUAUGAUCAAAUCUUACGAGAAAAAAGAGUGCUGUAAGGACAACAACAUACUAAAAAAUCACAUGAUCAGACGGUGCAAAGAGGCUGAAACAGUGAAGGAAAGUCAUGGCUUGUAGUUUUAGAUCUGGGGCAUUUAAGGAGGAUUUUUGAAAACCCUAGCCUAUAUCCGAGACAAGGAAGCGAUGAUAAAAUUUUGGGCUGCAUUGGUGACCCGACGGCAACGGUGCGUUACGGCUGACAAUGCUACUGAUCGAAAUCUGAAAAAUAGGAUUAUUGUUUAUCUAUUCCUGUAGAGAGAGAGAUGAGAAUAAAAUAGAGAAGCUGGGCAGAAGAAAUGAAAGAAUAAGCAAAGUUUUACUUUUUAUAGCAGC
RNAcentral lists this long non-coding RNA (5744 nucleotides) under Durio zibethinus. RNAcentral describes it as "long non-coding RNA (DZIB_LNC001136)". The record is from RNAcentral. Lineage: Eukaryota; Viridiplantae; Streptophyta; Magnoliopsida; Malvales; Malvaceae.